UAUAUUUUCUUUAGAUUAUGGAUACCAGUAUAUAAGUGCCUUUUUGGGAAAUAAUUUGUUGUUUCAAAAGGUCAAUCGGAAGGAGCAAAUAAUAAGCUAUUAUUUUUUUCAAAAUAAGUAGUAAAAAAUGAACUGAAUUUUCAAUUGCUUUGCUCAUGCUCGCGAGGAAGUAGGACAAGUUCGCUAAUAGAUAUAUCUUGUCAAUCUACAGAUUCACAUCGACUCCAGACAAAGUAAACAACAAAUACUACCUGGGACCUGCCCCACUGGAAGACAUGGCUAGGUAUAUACAUAGUAUACAUUUUUCUCCUCAUUUUUAUUUGAGGAAGUGAUAACCUAUCCUUUGGUUUCACUAAUUUUUUUGGCAAUCCAUUCAGGCAAAUAGCAACUGCGUAUGGUCCUUGCGGAAACAACAGGGACUAUCUUUUCCUUCUAGAAAAGGCCAUGUAUGAGAUUGGUAAGUUAUUUCCUAAUACAUACACAUGCAGUUAGCAAACACUAUUUUCUAUCUACGUUGUCACUAGCUUCAAAUUUAAAUAUACCAGCACUCUUAUUUGUACUGGUUCCGAUGUACAGGCCAUGAGGAUGACUUAGUGAUAGAGCUUGCCAAUGAAGUGAGGAAAGCACUUGGAGUGGGAAAGGUACUACCAAAUGUUGGAGCAGCUCAACUUCCACACCCUCCUCAUGUCUCCAUACC
RNAcentral lists this long non-coding RNA (697 nucleotides) under Phaseolus vulgaris (common bean). RNAcentral describes it as "long non-coding RNA (PVUL_LNC001132)". The record is from RNAcentral. Lineage: Eukaryota; Viridiplantae; Streptophyta; Magnoliopsida; Fabales; Fabaceae.